AGAGUUUGAUCAUGGCUCAGAUUGAACGCUGGCGGAAUGCUUUACACAUGAAAGUCGAACGGCAGCACGGGAGCUUGCUCCUGGUGGCGAGUGGCGAACGGGUGAGUAACAUAUCGGAACGUAUCCAAUAAUGGGGGAUAACUAAUCGAAAGGUUGGCUAAUACCGCAUACGCCCUGAGGGGGAAAGCUAGGGAUCUUCGGACCUGGCGUUAAUGGAGCGGCCGAUAUCUGAUUAGCUAGUUGGUGGGGUAGAGGCCUACCAAGGCGACGAUCAGUAGCUGGUCUGAGAGGACGACCAGCCACACUGGAACUGAGACACGGUCCAGACCCCUACGGGAGGCAGCAGUGGGGAAUUUUGGACAAUGGGCGCAAGCCUGAUCCAGCCAUUCCGCGUGAGUGAAGAAGGCCUUCGGGUUGUAGGCUCUUUCGCAAGGAAAGAAAACUUAUCCUCUAACAUAGGGUGAGGUUGACGGUACCUUGAUAAGAAGCACCGGCUAACUACGUGCCAGCAGCCGCGGUAAUACGUAGGGUGCGAGCGUUAAUCGGAAUUACUGGGCGUAAAGCGUGCGCAGGCGGUUCUGUAAGUCAGAUGUGAAAGCCCCGGGCUCAACCUGGGAACUGCGUUUGAAACUACAGGACUAGAGUAUGGCAGAGGGGGGUAGAAUUCCACGUGUAGCAGUGAAAUGCGUAGAGAUGUGGAGGAAUACCAAUGGCGAAGGCAGCCCCCUGGGUCAAUACUGACGCUCAUGCACGAAAGCGUGGGGAGCAAACAGGAUUAGAUACCCUGGUAGUCCACGCCCUAAACGAUGUCUACUAGUUGUUGGGAGAGUAAAAUCUCUUAGUAACGCAGCUAACGCGUGAAGUAGACCGCCUGGGGAGUACGGUCGCAAGAUUAAGACUCAAAGGAAUUGACGGGGGCCCGCACAAGCGGUGGAUUAUGUGGAUUAAUUCGAUGCAACGCGAAAAACCUUACCUGGCCUUGACAUGUACCGAAUUUGGGAGAGAUUCCUUAGUGCUCGAAAGAGAGCGGUAACACAGGUGCUGCAUGGCUGUCGUCAGCUCGUGUCGUGAGAUGUUGGGUUAAGUCCCGCAACGAGCGCAACCCUUGCCAAUAAUUGCCAUCAUUUAGUUGGGCACUUUAUUGGGACUGCCGGUGACAAACCGGAGGAAGGUGGGGAUGACGUCAAGUCCUCAUGGCCCUUAUGGCCAGGGCUUCACACGUAAUACAAUGGUCGGUACAGAGGGUUGCCAACCCGCGAGGGGGAGCUAAUCUCAGAAAGCCGAUCGUAGUCCGGAUUGAAGUCUGCAACUCGACUUCAUGAAGUCGGAAUCGCUAGUAAUCGCGGAUCAGCAUGUCGCGGUGAGUACGUUCCCGGGCCUUGUACACACCGCCCGUCACACCAUGGGAGUGGGUUCCACCAGAAGUAGUUAGUCUAACCGCAAGGAGGACGAUUACCACGGUGGGGUUCAUGACUGGGGUGAAGUCGUAACAAGGUA
Molecule: ribosomal RNA, 1497 nt
Filed under: metagenome
Description: bacterial SSU rRNA
Rfam family: Bacterial small subunit ribosomal RNA
Source: RNAcentral